CCUACGGGUGGCAGCAGUGAGGAAUAUUGGUCAAUGGACGAGAGUCUGAACCAGCCAAGUAGCGUGAAGGAUGACUGCCCUAUGGGUUGUAAACUUCUUUUAUAUGGGAAUAAAAUGUUCCACGUGUGGGAUUUUGUAUGUACCAUAUGAAUAAGGAUCGGCUAACUCCGUGCCAGCAGCCGCGGUAAUACGGAGGAUCCGAGCUUUAUCCGGAUUUAUUGGGUUUAAAGGGAGCGUAGGUGGAUUGUUAAGUCAGUUGUGAAAGUUUGCGGCUCAACCGUAAAAUUGCAGUUGAAACUGGCAGUCUUGAGUACAGUAGAGGUGGGCGGAAUUCGUGGUGUAGCGGUGAAAUGCUUAGAUAUCACGAAGAACUCCGAUUGCGAAGGCAGUUCACUGGACUGCAACUGACACUGAGGCUCGAAAGUGUGGGUAUCAAACAGGAUUAGAUACCCUUGUAGUC
Molecule: ribosomal RNA, 460 nt
Filed under: uncultured bacterium
Lineage: Bacteria
Description: partial 16S ribosomal RNA
Rfam family: Bacterial small subunit ribosomal RNA
Source: RNAcentral